GGCCGGAACGGCUGGGCCGCUCGCGACGCGGGGGUGGGAAUGACUGGGCGCGGGGCUGGCUGGGCCUCGGCCUGGUUUUCGCAGGGGCUUCUCCCCUUUCUCUUUUUUUCUAUUUUAUUUUUUAAAGCCCUUUCCAAAUGGAAUUUUGAACACAAUUAACUUCAAACCAAAGUCUCUCAGCACAAAAUAAAAUAUAACCCAGCAUGAAUGCAUAGACAAGUUUCUAUCUCUAUGUUAAAUUUUAAUUUCAACAAAAAUAAUUUUAUUUACU
This 271-nucleotide long non-coding RNA is filed under the name Sorghum bicolor (sorghum). Its description in RNAcentral is "long non-coding RNA (SBIC_LNC009136)". Lineage: Eukaryota; Viridiplantae; Streptophyta; Magnoliopsida; Poales; Poaceae. The record is from RNAcentral.